Molecule: small RNA, 27 nt
Filed under: Bombyx mori (domestic silkworm)
Lineage: Eukaryota; Metazoa; Arthropoda; Insecta; Lepidoptera; Bombycidae
Description: ovarian small RNA-13758
Source: RNAcentral
CCGAAAGUAGCGUAUGCUCUCGUAAAU